CUAGAAUACUUUGAAAAUGGCUACUGUUCUUAGCUGAUCCAUCCUUGAAAUCAGCAUUGCUGUCAAAUAGGGAAUACAGAAGGAAAAUUAAACUUUCUUUUAAAGAAAGUAUCCACAGAGCCAUGACACUACCCAUGUAAGACCAUUAAACAUCCCUUUGCUAAUGGUAGCAUGGAACAUAACAGUUAAAUCAUUUCAUACCCAAUAUAACAGAAGUUGUGUGUCCCUGGAGCCAGCACUGAAAGUGGAAGUGGAUAUGAUAUUGUGUAGUGUCAAGAUCAGAGGCUUUGGACUGUUGAAAGUAGAGGCUUAGAUGAGAAGGCAAAGGUGUCUUCC
Molecule: long non-coding RNA, 336 nt
Filed under: Fukomys damarensis (Damara mole-rat)
Lineage: Eukaryota; Metazoa; Chordata; Mammalia; Rodentia; Bathyergidae
Description: lncRNA (ENSFDAG00000023965.1)
Source: RNAcentral